AGGACAUGAGCCACAUUCAACUUCCACACAUCAUGGUCAUUACAGAAUUCCACAGAUUUGCGGAAGAUCUUUUCCACCAUUGGAUAAUUCUCAAGGUUCCAGUAGAUUUUGGCCUGGGCCAUCAACACAGGAAUAUACUUCUCCAGAGUGUCAUCAUAUUCAUUCACUGCCUUUUUGACAGCUUCGUCAUCUCUAUGGUGUCUUGCUUCCUGUACUUGUUUGGUGAGUCUCCGGAGCUGUUCAGUCAGCAUCCCUGCUAGCCCAUCAAGCUUAAUGAAAGCCUCUUCAGGGGCUGUCUGGCAGGUGAUCAAGGCAUCCAAGAAGUCAUAGAGAUAGGGUGUGAGGAACUUGUAAGUCAAAUGGGCAUUCUCGGCCAGGACAUCUGCUGCCAGGUCGAAAUACUCAUACUUACAGUAGAGCAGCAGCAGGUUGCCAAAGGUCUCCGGGGGAAAGGGGUUCUGUUGGAGCAAAAACUGUAGCUUUUCAAACCCUUCUGUAGGCCUGGCAUCCAUGUUCAUUAGCGCCUGGUUGUGCAGGGUCACGGGGUCUAACUCUUCUUCUGCCCUAGGUGGCAUGUCAGUGAGGGUUUCCUGGGCCACUUCAUAGUUUCUCAGUUGGUAUUCUAUGGCUGCUUUGAGGUUGAAGGCUUCCACCAGGGCAGUCUGGUGAAGGACUAAGGUGUUGCCAACACUUCGAACAUCGAUGCCCUCAGUGGUCAUGCCCACACCUAGCUCCGGGUGCUGGCGGAUGCCACGCUCAAUAAUGUCUGCGAUGUGCUUUAGAGCCGAGGCAUAGUGCCGGCUACUGUAAUAGGCCAAAGCCAGGUUGUAGGAAAGGUCAGGCCGGUAGCCCGAAGCCUGGAGGGCCGCAAAGAACUUGGAACACGCGGCCUCAUACUGUCCCUCCUUGUAGAGCAAACACCCCAGGUUGACCUGACCAUCGGGCUCGUUCUCGCCCCCACUGUCCUCUCCCCCUUCCCCGCCCAGUAGCUGCUCCACCAGGCUCUUGGCCCCGGGCAGGUCGCCCUCGCUGUACUUGAUCGCGGCUUGCAGACGGAGGACGCGGUUGUGGUAGGCGGGGUUGUCCAGGAGGAGGAAGGCGACCCGCGUGGCCUCUGGAUAAAGGCAGGCCUUGUACAGGGCCUGGGCCUGGUACAGGCGGUACUGCUCCUGUUCCGGGUGCAGCUGGCCCAGCUGCUCAUAGCACUCGGCCGCCAGCGUGAACUCCUGCAGGCGGUAGUAGCAGUAGCCCAGCAGCGACAGGCCGGCGCGGCU
This 1274-nucleotide long non-coding RNA is filed under the name Lynx pardinus (Iberian lynx). The record is from RNAcentral. Lineage: Eukaryota; Metazoa; Chordata; Mammalia; Carnivora; Felidae.